RNA transcript from Ictalurus punctatus (channel catfish), 4254 nucleotides. RefSeq lists it as uncharacterized. Lineage: Eukaryota; Metazoa; Chordata; Actinopteri; Siluriformes; Ictaluridae. The transcript has 4 exons. The record is from RefSeq and is a predicted model, not a curated record.
CAAUCUAUUUUCCUUAUUAAUUAUGAUAGACCUGUGAUAAAUGUAGCACGGUGUUAAAUACGACAAACUGUACAAUAUAUAAGCAUUCAUCUCUUAAUAAUCAACCACUCACAAAUAAUGAUUAUUAUUUCAUCUUGCAGCUGUAACAUAUGCAGAUAUGAUUAUAGGAUAUAGUUAUAGGAUAUAAAUGAUAUUCUCUGUCAUGUGUUCCGUAAUAUUAAUAAAUGACAGGUUUGGUGAAUGCUACACACACACACACACACACACACACACACACACACACACACACACACACACACACAAUAAUAAUAAUAAUAAUAAUAAUAAUAAUAAUAAUAAUAAUAAUAAUAAUAACGCCAUGAUUAGUGUGGUUUGGUGUGGUUUAAUAUCGGAUCUAACAUGAAUUUCAUCACGUCAUUUCUUUAGUUGAACAAAUGUUUGCUAGUAACCCGGGUAGCAUCACAUUAAUGUAUACAAGAACAAGAAGACAAGGGUUAAAAUAUAGAAUAAUAUUGUAUUGUAUAGUUUGUAUAGUUGUUGUGUGUACUGAGUUGAUCACUGCUCCAAGUGCACAGUUUAAAUCAAGGGCACAGCUGCUGUGAUAAACAUGUCUUAAAUUUUCCAUGAUGUCAUUUUUAAGGGGAAAAGAGUUUAGAGCUUAAAGGCUUCUGUUAAGACACAUUCAAUCCCUUAUACCUAACUUAUAUUUAUAUUCACUUUUACAGUCGUUGACAGGGACUUUUAUCCAGAGUGACUUGCCACUGGAGAGCUAUAAAACACAACAAUACCAAAAAAAGGUUUCGUUACAUAUUGAUAUCAUAUAUUCCAAUGAAAAAAGGACAUGGGCCAAGGCGACAAGAGUUCCCCAAGACUGAGGGCAAUUAAAAAUAUUCAUAUUUUUAUUUACAAAAUGGUUUUCAUGAGAGUGAUUUUUUGGGUGUACGUAUUAAAUAAACAGUGCAGUUAUUGUUUGCCUUAUCUUAUAGCAGCAUGUGGGAUGGUGAACUCUGAAAUGGAGGUGAACUAUGAUCAGCUGAUCACCACUUUUGUGUGUGUGUGUGUGUGUGUGUGUGUGUGUGUGUGUGUGUGUGUGGCUCCUGCUAAAUGCUGUGCAUAACCAAAACUGAAAGUAGUGGUUGAGUCCAUUAGCCGUCUUUAGGGACAGUCUCAAGGAAACGAGGAGCACAAACAACCACAACGAUUCUGAAAGGCUCGUUAUCAGUCUUCCUCCAGAAUGCUUCAAGGAACAAAAACACGCCUUUUCUCAAUCAAUGAAAGUAGGAAAUUCUUGGAUGUCCAAAGUAAGAUUGAGGAACGGUUGAAGAAACGCGUUCAGCUCCAUCAAGUGGAUUCAGAGGAUUGUUGUGAUGUCAUCAUGGCUUUUGUACCCAUUGUGUCCCGGGUUGGAAAAGACAUUGCAGCUGCUCUUCGAAAUAUUCCAACAAAUCGGCCUGUCAUCCUCGUGGCGCUCCACCACACGUUUGAUGAAAAUUACAUUGCACCACAGAGCAAAAGGUGUGUGAAUAGGGAUGGUGUAUUUGCUGUAGACUUCCUCUGUCAUGAAGAUAAGGGACUGCUGGAAUGCUUGACCAAUGAGGAGGCACUGAAAUCCGUCAGUGAUUAUCUGGUCUCUAUGGACCCCAGUACCCCGCUUAUACCAGUUCAUCCACGGCCAUCCCAAAGAUGCUGAUGUUUGGGUGUCUCUGCUUUUGUUGUUGUUAUUGUGCUAUUUAUUUAAUUAAUUCAGAAAAGUCACGGACAUGGUGACACUCAAACUACGGUGAUACCUCCUAUAACUGUAGCUACACAUUAGUCUAACAGAACUGAAACUACACAUCAGUCUAACAUAACUGAAACUACACAUCAGUCUAACAUAACUGUAACUACACAUCAGCGUAACAUAACUGUAGCUACACAUCAGUCUAAGAUAACUGUAACUACACAUCAGUCUAACAUAACUGUAACUACACAUCAGUCUAAGAUAACUGUAGCUACACAGCAGCGUAAGAAACGAUCCCUUCAGAGAGGCCAAGGCUAAUUCAUUAGUUUGUGGUGAACACCCAAGACUGUUGUGUUCGUGACGAAAAGAUGGAGAUGAAACGAGAGUUUAGGAUAUCAGCUUUUAUUUCCUGGUGUUUACAUCUAGACGUGUUAAACAUAAAACAUACAACCUUUUGUAUCAGACCACCCACUUUUUAGGUGAGCAAAAGUAUAGGAACAGAUACGUCUUGAAGUAAAUGAAAGUAAAUAACACUUAACAUUCGGCUGCGUGUCCCUUGCUUGCAAAAACUCAUCAAACUGCAUCAAUCCUGUGACUCACUGACACUUGUGUUGCUUUUCCAGGUUUCUCCUGCAGUUUCUUUCAGUAGUCGUGUGUUUCGGGGGUUUCUCCCUUCAGUCUCCUCUUCAGGAGGUGAAAUGAUCAGUUGGGUGAAGGUCUGGUGAUGGACUUGUCCAGUCUAAAACCUUCCACUUUCCCCCUGAUGAAGUCCUGUGUUGAGGUGGAAGUGUGUUUUGGAUCGUUGUCUUGCUGCAUGAUGAAGUUCCUCUGAUUCAUUCGGAUGGAUUUCUCUGUAAAUCUGCAGACAGAAUGUUCCUGUAGACUUCUGAAUUCAUUCUGCUGCUCCAUCAUGAGUUCAUAAUCAAUAAAGAUCAGUGAGAAUGUUCCAGAAGCAGCCGUGCAAGCCCAAGCCAUGACACUACCUCCACCAUGUUCCACAGAUCAGCUUGUAUGUUCUGGAUCGUGAGCAGAUCCUUUCUUUCUCCACACUUUGGACUUUCCAUCACUUUGGUAGAGGUUCGUCUUGUUCCAGAACUUUUGUGGAUCAUCUCUGUAUUUCUUUGCCAAUUCCAAUUUGACUUUCUGACUCGUACUGCUGAUGACUGGUUUGCAUCUUGUGGUACGGCCUCGAUAUUUCUGCUCUCGAAGACUUCUUCAAACGGUGGCUUGUGAUGCCUUCAAUUCUGCCCUGUGGAGCUUGUUGGUGAUGUCACUGACAGUUGUUGUUGGGUUUUUCUUCACAGCUCUCUGUCAUCACCUGCUGUUGUUUUCCUUGACUGACCUGUUCGGUGUCUGUUCCUCAGUACACCAGCGGUUUCUUUCAUUUUCAUGACAUUCCAAAUUGUUGUAUUGGCUUUACCCAGUGUUUCUGCAAAGGCUUUGAUUGAUUUUCCCUCUUUCCCAGCUUCAAAAUGGCUCGCUUUUCUCCCCUAGACAGCUCUCCGAUCUUCAUGUUGGCUUAUCCUUUAUAACAACAUAUGCAGUCUUCACAGGUGAAACUGAAGAGUAGAUGUUCAGAGCUAUUUAUUGUUUAAACAGUCGAUCUAACAGGACACGCCUGGGGAACAAGAAACACCCGUCAGUCACGUGUUCCAAUGUUUUUGCUCCCUUACAAAUUGGGUGGUCUGAUACAAACUGUGCUGUUCUGUAUCUAUAUAUAAAUACCAGGAAAUAAAAGCUGAAAUUCUAAACUCUCUUCUCAUAUUCCUCUUUUAAUCUCAAAACCAAAUGUCUUCACUCUACAGUGAAAACAAUUUAAUUGGCCUUGCCGUCCCAAUAUUUUUGCAGGGGGACUGUAACUGUGACUAUAUAGCAGCUUAAUAUAAUGGUAAUAAACAUUAACUUAACAUACUGGCGAAUAAACAGCAGCCUAAUAUAACUCUAAUUAUACAGCAGCCUGACAUAAUGGCAACGAAAUAGCAACGUAAUCUAACUAUAACUGCACAACAAACAUAAAAUAAACACUAAUCUUUCUUCUAAAUACUUUUUAAAAUUUCAUCAAUUCUUUUGAAUCAGCUUCAUUUUCAUUACAGUUAGAACUUUUCCUUUCAAACCUUAUGAGUAUUUUGACAUCAAUCAUUCUGCAAUCAUCCUAACAUAUACUUUAUAUACAUAUAAAGGAUUCUUUGAUUAAUAAAGGUUUCAUGUAGAACCUUACAACAGAGAUUUUCUGUUUCUGAGAGGGUUCUAGGUUGAACCACUGUUAGGGUGUAGUAAAUGAAGAAUUGCUUACGCAAAACUAGUAUGACUUGAUAUUACCUUGUAAUUGUUCAUAAGUUUAAGAUUACCUCCACUAUAUUUAAUGUUACUCCACUAUAUUUUGUAGUUUCUAUAUUUAAUGCUUAUUAAAUGCACAGAACAUUAAAAUCGGAAACGAAGUCUGACAAGAAUGUAACAGAAUAUAACAAGACUGAAUCUGUGUGUAAAGACUUCAUGAAUGUUUGUUUCUAAUCAAUAAAAUUCUCAUACGCUUA